CGGUUCGUAGCAUAAGAGUCUAUUGCACCCGCCUUUUAAGCGGAGAGGUGCUGGUGCAAUUCCAGCCGAGCCGACCA
This 77-nucleotide transfer RNA is filed under the name Obscuribacter sp. (SeqCode). RNAcentral's name for it is "tRNA-Lys". It matches the Rfam family "tRNA". From Rfam's summary of the family: Transfer RNA (tRNA) molecules are approximately 80 nucleotides in length. Lineage: Bacteria; Bacillati; Candidatus Melainabacteria; Candidatus Obscuribacterales; Obscuribacteraceae (SeqCode). The record is from RNAcentral.